UUAAUACAAAACAGUUUUAAGGAAUAAAUUUCAAAAUAUUUACGGAAUGACAACACUAUUUAGAGGCACUUGCCGGAGUUACAGAUUAUCGUAUCUCAUCGUAUCGUAUCACAACUCCGACGACAAACAAGCUCGCCUCCUGCCGUGUUGUAUUCAAAUAUUAUCGUAUGUUCGAGAGUUGUGUUCACCAAAAUGACGUUAAAGGACAUUGGCUAACCCAUCUGGAAAAUCAGUAAAAAUAAACCGAUAAUACUCCGAAAAAUAUGUUUAUUAUGGACUAAUUUUUAUGUAUUUGGAAUAAGUAUACCAGCAGAUGCCUUCCUGAUUUUAAAUGGACUUACUAUUGAGACUACUGCACCUGAUGAUAGCCCAAACCCCCAAUAAAAAAUACUAUUGAGACUAUAAAAUUAAGUCUAUGCAUUACAUGCCCAUACCAAGACAAACGAUUGCUCUUCAACUUCCCCGACACUGGCGCUACUUUCAUACUUCCUCU
This is a long non-coding RNA of Achroia grisella, 493 nucleotides long. RefSeq lists it as uncharacterized. Lineage: Eukaryota; Metazoa; Arthropoda; Insecta; Lepidoptera; Pyralidae. The record is from RefSeq and is a predicted model, not a curated record. The transcript has 4 exons.